AGUAGGAGAAGAUGGUCAAGUAUGGUGGCUCACACCUGUAAUCCCAGCAUUAUGGGAGUCCAAGGCAAAUGAGAUCACAUGAUGUCAGGAAUUCGA
Long non-coding RNA from Sapajus apella (tufted capuchin), 96 nucleotides. RefSeq lists it as uncharacterized. The transcript is spliced from 3 exons. The record is from RefSeq and is a predicted model, not a curated record. Lineage: Eukaryota; Metazoa; Chordata; Mammalia; Primates; Cebidae.